GGGUUGUGAGGUUAAGCGACUAAGCGUACACGGUGGAUGCCCUGGCAGUCAGAGGCGAUGAAGGACGUGCUAAUCUGCGAAAAGCGUCGGUAAGGUGAUAUGAACCGUUAUAGCCGGCGAUGUCCGAAUGGGGAAACCCAGUGCAAUUCGUUGCACUAUCGUUAACUGAAUACAUAGGUUAACGAGGCGAACCGGGGGAACUGAAACAUCUAAGUACCCCGAGGAAAAGAAAUCAACCGAGAUUCCCCCAGUAGCGGCGAGCGAACGGGGAGCAGCCCAGAGUCUGAAUCAGCUUGUGUGUUAGUGGAACGGUCUGGAAAGUCCGACGGUACAGGGUGAUAGUCCCGUACACCAAAAUGCACAGGCUGUGAACUCGAAGAGUAGGGCGGGACACGUGGUAUCCUGUCUGAAUAUGGGGGGACCAUCCUCCAAGGCUAAAUACUCCUGACUGACCGAUAGUGAACCAGUACCGUGAGGGAAAGGCGAAAAGAACCCCGGCGAGGGGAGUGAAAAAGAACCUGAAACCGUGUACGUACAAGCAGUGGGAGCACCUUCGGGUGUGACUGCGUACCUUUUGUAUAAUGGGUCAGCGACUUAUAUUCUGUAGCAAGGUUAACCGUAUAGGGGAGCCGCAGGGAAACCGAGUCUUAACUGGGCGUUAAGUUGCAGGGUAUAGACCCGAAACCCGGUGAUCUAGCCAUGGGCAGGUUGAAGGUUGGGUAACACUAACUGGAGGACCGAACCGACUAAUGUUGAAAAAUUAGCGGAUGACUUGUGGCUGGGGGUGAAAGGCCAAUCAAACCGGGAGAUAGCUGGUUCUCCCCGAAAGCUAUUUAGGUAGCGCCUCGUGAAUUCAUCUUCGGGGGUAGAGCACUGUUUCGGCUAGGGGGUCAUCCCGACUUACCAACCCGAUGCAAACUACGAAUACCGAAGAAUGUUAUCACGGGAGACACACGGCGGGUGCUAACGUCCGUCGUGAAGAGGGAAACAACCCAGACCGCCAGCUAAGGUCCCAAAGUCAUGGUUAAGUGGGAAACGAUGUGGGAAGGCACAGACAGCCAGGAUGUUGGCUUAGAAGCAGCCAUCAUUUAAAGAAAGCGUAAUAGCUCACUGGUCGAGUCGGCCUGCGCGGAAGAUGUAACGGGGCUAAACCAUGCACCGAAGCUGCGGCAGCGACACUAUGUGUUGUUGGGUAGGGGAGCGUUCUGUAAGCCUGCGAAGGUGUGCUGUGAGGCAUGCUGGAGGUAUCAGAAGUGCGAAUGCUGACAUAAGUAACGAUAAAGCGGGUGAAAAGCCCGCUCGCCGGAAGACCAAGGGUUCCUGUCCAACGUUAAUCGGGGCAGGGUGAGUCGACCCCUAAGGCGAGGCCGAAAGGCGUAGUCGAUGGGAAACAGGUUAAUAUUCCUGUACUUGGUGUUACUGCGAAGGGGGGACGGAGAAGGCUAUGUUAGCCGGGCGACGGUUGUCCCGGUUUAAGCAUGUAGGCUGGUUGUCCAGGCAAAUCCGGAUAAUCAAGGCUGAGGUGUGAUGACGAGGCACUACGGUGCUGAAGUAACAAAUGCCCUGCUUCCAGGAAAAGCCUCUAAGCAUCAGGUAACAUUAAAUCGUACCCCAAACCGACACAGGUGGUCAGGUAGAGAAUACCAAGGCGCUUGAGAGAACUCGGGUGAAGGAACUAGGCAAAAUGGUGCCGUAACUUCGGGAGAAGGCACGCUGGUGUGUAGGUGAAGUCCCUGCGGAUGGAGCUGAGACCAGUCGAAGAUACCAGCUGGCUGCAACUGUUUAUUAAAAACACAGCACUGUGCAAACACGAAAGUGGACGUAUACGGUGUGACGCCUGCCCGGUGCCGGAAGGUUAAUUGAUGGGGUUAUCCGUAAGGAGAAGCUCUUGAUCGAAGCCCCGGUAAACGGCGGCCGUAACUAUAACGGUCCUAAGGUAGCGAAAUUCCUUGUCGGGUAAGUUCCGACCUGCACGAAUGGCGUAAUGAUGGCCAGGCUGUCUCCACCCGAGACUCAGUGAAAUUGAACUCGCUGUGAAGAUGCAGUGUACCCGCGGCAAGACGGAAAGACCCCGUGAACCUUUACUAUAGCUUGACACUGAACAUUGAGCCUUGAUGUGUAGGAUAGGUGGGAGGCUUUGAAGCGUGGACGCCAGUCUGCGUGGAGCCAACCUUGAAAUACCACCCUUUAAUGUUUGAUGUUCUAACGUUGGCCCCUUACCGGGGUUGCGGACAGUGUCUGGUGGGUAGUUUGACUGGGGCGGUCUCCUCCCAAAGCGUAACGGAGGAGCACGAAGGUUAGCUAAUCCUGGUCGGACAUCAGGAGGUUAGUGCAAUGGCAUAAGCUAGCUUGACUGCGAGCGUGACGGCGCGAGCAGGUGCGAAAGCAGGUCAUAGUGAUCCGGUGGUUCUGAAUGGAAGGGCCAUCGCUCAACGGAUAAAAGGUACUCCGGGGAUAACAGGCUGAUACCGCCCAAGAGUUCAUAUCGACGGCGGUGUUUGGCACCUCGAUGUCGGCUCAUCACAUCCUGGGGCUGAAGUAGGUCCCAAGGGUAUGGCUGUUCGCCAUUUAAAGUGGUACGCGAGCUGGGUUUAGAACGUCGUGAGACAGUUCGGUCCCUAUCUGCCGUGGGCGCUGGAGAAUUGAGGGGGGCUGCUCCUAGUACGAGAGGACCGGAGUGGACGCAUCACUGGUGUUCGGGUUGUCAUGCCAAUGGCACUGCCCGGUAGCUAAAUGCGGAAGAGAUAAGUGCUGAAAGCAUCUAAGCACGAAACUUGCCCCGAGAUGAGUUCUCCCUGAGACUUUAAGUCUCCUGAAGGAACGUUAAAGACGAUGACGUUGAUAGGCCGGGUGUGUAAGCGCAGCGAUGCGUUGAGCUAACCGGUACUAAUGAACCGUGAGGCUUAACCUUACAACGCCGA
Molecule: ribosomal RNA, 2921 nt
Filed under: Klebsiella pneumoniae
Lineage: Bacteria; Pseudomonadati; Pseudomonadota; Gammaproteobacteria; Enterobacterales; Enterobacteriaceae
Description: partial 23S ribosomal RNA
Rfam family: Bacterial large subunit ribosomal RNA
Source: RNAcentral